GCUGCGGGGCCACCCUUUAAACGUGCAGUCGAGCGCAGGAGUUAUCUGAGCCUCUUUUAGAGGUGACGAUAAUGGAAUGAAAGGAAGACGGGUGAGUAACACGUAGGGACCUGCCUGCAUUACUGGGAUAACUCGUGGAAACGCGAGCUAAUACCGGAUAACACUUUUCAUCUCCUGAUGACAAGUUGAAAGGCGGCUUUUGCUGUCACUUACAGAUGGGCCUGCGGCGCAUUAGCUAGUUGGUAAGGUAAUGGCUUACCAAGGCGACGAUGCGUAGCCGACCUGAGAGGGUGAUCGGCCACACUGGGACUGAGACACGGCCCAGACUCCUACGGGAGGCGGCAGUAGGGAAUCUUCCUAAAUGGACGAAAGUCUGACGGAGCAACGCCGCGUGAGUGAUGAAGGUUUUCGGAUCGUAAAACUCUGUUGUUAGGGAAGAACAGGUGCCAUAGUAACUGAUGGCACCUUGACGGUACCUAACCAGAAAGCCACGGCUAACUACGUGCCAGCAGCCGCGGUAAUACGUAGGUGGCAAGCGUUGUCCGGAAUUAUUGGGCGUAAAGCGCUCGCAGGCGGUUCUUUACUCUGAUGUGAAAUCUUACGGCUCAACCGUAAAACGUGCCAUUGGAAACUGGGGAAACUAGAGUCCAGAAGGAGGAGAGGGGGAAUUCCACGUGUAACGGUGAAAUGCGUAGAGAUGAGCAGGAACACCCAGUGGCGAAAGCCGACUCUCUGGUCUGUAACAGACCGCUGAGGAGCGAAAAGCGUCGUGGAGCCGAACAGCAUUAGAUACCCUGGUAGUCCACCCCGUAAACGAAGAGUGCCAACGUGUUAGGGGGUUUCCCGCCCCUUUAGUGCUGAAGUUAACCCAUUAAGCACUCCGCCUGGGGGAGUACGGCCGCAACGCUGAAAACUCAAAAGAAUUGACGGGGGCCCGCACAACCGGUGGAGCAUGUGGUUUAAUUGGAAGCAACGCGAAGAACCUUACCAGGUCUUGACAUCAUGUGAACACUCUAGAGAUAGAGUUUUACUUUCGGGGACAGAGUGCCAGGUGGUGCAUGGCAGUCGUCAGCUCGUGUCGUGAGAUGUUGGGUUAAGUCCCGCAACGAGCGCAACCCUUGAUUUUAGUUCCCAGCAUUCAGUUGGGCACUCUAAGGUGACUGCCGGUGACAAACCGGAGGAAGGUGGGGACGACGUCAAAUCAUCAUGCCCCUUAUGACCUGGGCUACACACGUGCUACAAUGGAUGGAACAAAGGGAAGCGAACCCGCGAGGUCAAGCAAAUCCCACAAAACCAUUCUCAGUUCGGAUUGUAGUCUGCAACUCGCCUACAUGAAGCCGGAAUCGCUAGUAAUCGCGGAUCAGCAUGCCGCGGUGAAUACGUUCCCGGGCCUUGUACACACCGCCCUUCCCGCCACGAGAGUUGGUAUCACCCGAAGUCGUUGAGGUAACCUUGGAGCCAGGACACUCGCGAGAGGAGAUAGGGAG
This 1487-nucleotide ribosomal RNA is filed under the name Oceanobacillus sp. RNAcentral describes it as "bacterial SSU rRNA". It matches the Rfam family "Bacterial small subunit ribosomal RNA". The record is from RNAcentral. Lineage: Bacteria; Bacillati; Bacillota; Bacilli; Caryophanales; Bacillaceae.